Molecule: ribosomal RNA, 159 nt
Filed under: Acacia minyura
Lineage: Eukaryota; Viridiplantae; Streptophyta; Magnoliopsida; Fabales; Fabaceae
Description: 5.8S ribosomal RNA
Source: RNAcentral
GACUCUCGGCAACGGAUAUCUCGGCUCUCGCAUCGAUGAAGAACGUAGCGAAAUGCGAUACUUGGUGUGAAUUGCAGAAUCCCGUGAACCAUCGAGUCUUUGAACGCAAGUUGCGCCCGAAGCCGYCAGGCCGAGGGSACGCCUGCCUGGGUGUCACGC